This 582-nucleotide long non-coding RNA is filed under the name Gallus gallus (chicken). Its description in RNAcentral is "lncRNA (ENSGALG00010000389.1)". The record is from RNAcentral. Lineage: Eukaryota; Metazoa; Chordata; Aves; Galliformes; Phasianidae.
CCAAUUUUGUGCCCCCCCCUCAGUUGGUGGAUGAGCGCCGGGAGCCGCACAAAUGGCACCGCAAAAAGGUGGGGGGGGGGGGGGGCAAAAAUGGGGCAAAAAAGGGCGGAAAUGGGCAAAAAUGGGGCGGAAAUGGGCGGAAAUGGGCAAAAAUGGGGCAAAAUUGGGCAGAAAUGGGCAAAAAUGGGGCAGAAAUGGGGAAAAAUGGGGCAGAAAUGGGCAGAAAUGGGCAAAAAUGGGGCAGAAAUGGGCAGAAAUGGAGCAGAAAUGGGCAAAAAUGGGGCAGAAAUGGGUGAAAAUGGGGUAAAAUUGGGCAGAAAUGGGGCAAAAAAGGGCAGAAAUGGGCAAAAAUGGGGAGAAUUGGGCAAAAAUGGGGCAGAAAUGGGGCAUAAAUGGGCAAAAAUGGGGCAGAAAUGGGCAAAAAUGGGGCAGAAAUGGGUGAAAAUGGGGCAAAAAAAGGGUAAUUUUGGGGGUAUUUUGAGUGGGAAAAUGUCCAAUUUGGGGGAAUUUUGGGUGGAAAACAUCCAAUUUUGGGUUAUUUUUGGGGUAUUUGGAGUGGGAAAACGUCCAAUUUUGGGUUAU